RNAcentral lists this ribosomal RNA (465 nucleotides) under Vreelandella stevensii. RNAcentral's name for it is "partial 16S ribosomal RNA". It matches the Rfam family "Bacterial small subunit ribosomal RNA", at positions 338 to 795 of the family's 1533-position model. Lineage: Bacteria; Pseudomonadati; Pseudomonadota; Gammaproteobacteria; Oceanospirillales; Halomonadaceae. The record is from RNAcentral.
CCUACGGGAUGCAGCAGUGGGGAAUAUUGGACAAUGGGCGAAAGCCUGAUCCAGCCAUGCCGCGUGUGUGAAGAAGGCCUUCGGGUUGUAAAGCACUUUCAGUGGGGAAGAAAGCCUUGGGGCUAAUACCCUCGAGGAAGGACAUCACCCACAGAAGAAGCACCGGCUAACUCCGUGCCAGCAGCCGCGGUAAUACGGAGGGUGCGAGCGUUAAUCGGAAUUACUGGGCGUAAAGCGCGCGUAGGCGGUCUGAUAAGCCGGUUGUGAAAGCCCCGGGCUCAACCUGGGAACGGCAUCCGGAACUGUCAGGCUAGAGUGCAGGAGAGGAAGGUAGAAUUCCCGGUGUAGCGGUGAAAUGCGUAGAGAUCGGGAGGAAUACCAGUGGCGAAGGCGGCCUUCUGGACUGACACUGACGCUGAGGUGCGAAAGCGUGGGUAGCAAACAGGAUUAGAUACCCUUGUAGUC